This 497-nucleotide ribosomal RNA is filed under the name uncultured bacterium. RNAcentral's name for it is "partial 16S ribosomal RNA". It matches the Rfam family "Bacterial small subunit ribosomal RNA", at positions 28 to 507 of the family's 1533-position model. The record is from RNAcentral.
GAUGAACGCUGGCGGCGUGCCUAAUACAUGCAAGUCGAGCGAACAGACGAGGAGCUUGCUCCUCUGACGUUAGCGGCGGACGGGUGAGUAACACGUGGAUAACCUACCUAUAAGACUUGGAUAACUUCGGGAAACCGGAGCUAAUACCGGAUAAUAUAUUGAACCGCAUGGUUCAAUAGUGAAAGACGGUUUUGCUGUCACUUAUAGAUGGAUCCGCGCCGCAUUAGCUAGUUGGUAAGGUAACGGCUUACCAAGGCGACGAUGCGUAGCCGACCUGAGAGGAUGAUCGGCCACACUGGAACUGAGACACGGUCCAGACUCCUACGGGAGGCAGCAGUAGGGAAUCUUCCGCAAUGGGCGAAAGCCUGACGGAGCAACGCCGCGUGAGUGAUGAAGGUCUUCGGAUCGUAAAACUCUGUUAUUAGGGAAGAACAAAUGUGUAAGUAACUAUGCACGUCUUGACGGUACCUAAUCAGAAAGCCACGGCUAACUACGUG